UACGUAGGGUGCAAGCGUUGUCCGGAAUUAUUGGGCGUAAAGCGCGCGCAGGCGGUUUCUUAAGUCUGAUGUGAAAGCCCACGGCUCAACCGUGGAGGGUCAUUGGAAACUGGGGGACUUGAGUACAGAAGAGAAGAGUGGAAUUCCACGUGUAGCGGUGAAAUGCGUAGAGAUGUGGAGGAACACCAGUGGCGAAGGCGACUUUCUGGCCUAUAACUGACGCUGAGGCGCGAAAGCGUGGGGAGCAAACAGG
RNAcentral lists this ribosomal RNA (253 nucleotides) under uncultured bacterium. RNAcentral describes it as "partial 16S ribosomal RNA". It matches the Rfam family "Bacterial small subunit ribosomal RNA", at positions 524 to 776 of the family's 1533-position model. The record is from RNAcentral.